GUGGGGAAUAUUCCGCAAUGGACGAAAGUCUGACGGAGCAACGCCGCGUGAGUGAUGAAGGUUUUCGGACUGUAAAGCUCUGUUGUUUAGGACGAAAGUGCCUGUUGCAAAUAGUUACAGGUAUUGACGGUACUGAACGAGGAAGCCACGGCUAACUACGUGCCAGCAGCCGCGGUAAUACGUAGGUGGCAAGCGUUGUCCGGAAUUAUUGGGCGUAAAGAGCAUGUAGGCGGGAAUCUAAGUCUGUUGUGAAAAUGCGGGGCUCAGCCCCGUAUUGCGAUGGAAACUGGGUUUCUUGAGUGCAGGAGAGGAAAGGGGAAUUCCCAGUGUAGCGGUGAAAUGCGUAGAUAUUGGGAGGAACACCAGUGGCGAAGGCGCCUUUCUGGACUGUGUCUGACGCUGAGAUGCGAAAGCCAGGGUAGCGAACGGGAUUAGAAACCCGGGUAGUCC
This 450-nucleotide ribosomal RNA is filed under the name uncultured bacterium. RNAcentral's name for it is "partial 16S ribosomal RNA". It matches the Rfam family "Bacterial small subunit ribosomal RNA", at positions 354 to 796 of the family's 1533-position model. The record is from RNAcentral.